ACUCAAAUGAAUUGACGGGGGCUCACACAAGCGGUGGAGCAUGUGGCUUAAUUCGAGGCUACGCGCAGAACCUUAUCCCGGGCUUGACAUGCACGGAUUAGGUGGCGGAAACGUCACCGACGCCGCGAGGUGGAACGUGCACAGGUGCUGCAUGGCUGUCGUCAGCUCGUGUCGUGAGAUGUUGGGUUCAGUCCCGUAACGAGCGAAACCCCUGUGACUAGUUGCCAGCGGGUCGUGCCGGGCACUCUAGUCAGACCGCCGGCGUCAAGCCGGAGGAAGGCGGGGACGACGUCAAGUCCUCAUGGCCCGGAUGCCCGGGGCCGCACACGUGCUACAAUGGGCCGGACAGAGCGCCGCAGAGCCGCGAGGCCGAGCCAAUCGCAAAAACCGGCCCCCAGUUCGGAUUGCGGGCUGCAACCCGCCCGCAUGAAGCCGGAAUCGCUAGUAAUCGCGGAUCAGCACUGCCGCGGUGAAUGGGUUCCUGAGCCUUGUACACACCGCCCGU
This 505-nucleotide ribosomal RNA is filed under the name uncultured bacterium. RNAcentral describes it as "partial 16S ribosomal RNA". It matches the Rfam family "Bacterial small subunit ribosomal RNA", at positions 899 to 1397 of the family's 1533-position model. The record is from RNAcentral.